UAUGAGAMUGAGCCMUUYUUAUGGCCUUAAGAAAAGUUUUUUYUKUUUUAUACGAUUAUGCCGGGGAAGGUUUUUCGGUUUAUCCCGGAGGGCUUGUAGCUCAGUUGGUUAGAGCGCGCGCUUGAUAAGCGUGAGGUCGGAGGUUCAAGUCCUCCCAGGCCCACCAAUUUCAUUAAGUGCUUAUAAAGUGCUUAUCCUUAARAGUAGAUGGAAGCAUAGGUCUAUAUUUCUUAAUCAAGAAGGUUAUAUGUUGCUUAUCAAUUGCGCUGAAGUGAUUUUAGCUCAUCUUUCUAUUGAUGGGUUUUAUCCUUUAUCCUAUUUUAGGGGCCGUAGCUCAGCUGGGAGAGCACCUGCUUUGCAAGCAGGGGGCGGUCGG
This 376-nucleotide unclassified non-coding RNA is filed under the name Bartonella sp. Its description in RNAcentral is "partial 16S-23S ribosomal RNA intergenic spacer". The stretch from base 90 to 163 matches the Rfam family "tRNA". Lineage: Bacteria; Pseudomonadati; Pseudomonadota; Alphaproteobacteria; Hyphomicrobiales; Bartonellaceae. The record is from RNAcentral.